AACGAACGCUGGCGGCAUGCCUAACACAUGCAAGUCGAACGAGACCUUCGGGUCUAGUGGCGCACGGGUGCGUAACGCGUGGGAACCUGCCCUUAGGUUCGGAAUACCUCCCCGAAAGGGAUGCUAAUACCGGAUAAUGUCUUCGGACCAAAGAUUUAUCGCCUUUGGAUGGGCACGCGUUGGAUUAGCUAGUUGGUAGGGUAAAAGCCUGCCAAGGCGACGAUCCAGAGCUGGUCUGAUAGGAUGAUCAGCCACACUGGGACUGAGACACGGCCCAGACUCCUACGGGAGGCAGCAGUGGGGAAUAGUGGACAAUGGGCGAAAGCCUGAUCCAGCAAUGCCGCGUGAGUGAUGAAGGCCUUAGGGUUGUAAAGCUCUUUUACCCGGGAUGAUAAUGACAGUACCGGGAGAAUAAGCACCGGCUAACUCCGUG
Molecule: ribosomal RNA, 433 nt
Filed under: uncultured bacterium
Lineage: Bacteria
Description: partial 16S ribosomal RNA
Rfam family: Bacterial small subunit ribosomal RNA
Source: RNAcentral